CCCCAGUCCACCUCCUUGCCUCACCCCCAACCCACGAAGCUCAUGCAACCUCCACGGCUCACUCAAGGCCCUCUCGGGCCACCAUGCUUUUGCAUAUGCUGUCCCUGGUCCCGGAAGCACCCUCUGCCAGCCUGCCCCCAGCACACGCCUAAUCGCCCUUCCAUGCUCUGCCAAAGUGUCGCUCCUCUGGGAGUCCUCCCUGCCCAGAAUAUUGUUGGAUGCUCCCCCCAUGCCCCCACGGAGUCUGUACGUAUCUGUGCCAUGCCAGUUCACAGCACCCCAUUGUAACUGUUUGCGUGUCUGUCCCUGUCACUCCACCCCCAUCUCCCUAUGCCCAUUAGGCCCCAGAGGGCUGGGACUGUGGGUUGUUCAUUUGCACAGUGCCUGGCACUCACUAGGGACUCGAAGAAUGAAUGAAUGUGGAAUGUGGUUUACACAGCCAGGGAGAAUGGGAUACCAGCCAGGGCAAGAACAGUCUACUGGGUGGGGCAGGAUCCAGGACAAGGAGGUGAGCAGCCCUUCCUCUGGCCACUCAAGUAGUGGGAACUGGGAGGAGGGGCGCUUUGUCUAUGCAGUCUUCUUAUGGCUCAUCACCAUACCAGGACAGGGGCACCCUGCCCCCCUGGCCCACGGCUGGACUUCAGAGACUGGCUCGGAGCCCCCAGGGAACAUUUGCAGGGCCAGCCCCCAACUUUGGGCCCCUUGGGCCUGGCCGCUGGCCCCUGGCCUUCCUGGGUGAAAUAUGGCACUGGAAGUAAUGCUCUUGGCUGUGGGAGCUACAGAAAGCAAUGAGGUCUCUAUCAAACCCAGCCUCCUCUCUCUCGAGAGGAACCAGUGGGGAUACCCUACCCCUCAGCCCCAAAGCCCUGUGCACCUGAGGGUAAAAAUCUGGGUGCCACGGGCUCAGGAAGGCUUGCUUGGGAGCAAGAGGGAGGUGGAUGUGUCUGGGGAGGCAUUUCUGAGCACAAGAGCCUCCCUGGAGUUCUGCCAUCGUCUCUCCCCAUUCUGUGGUGCCCGCAAUAACCACCGUUCUGACUCUCCUCACCCCUCCAGCCUCCCAGCGUGCGGCCUGCCAACCCCGCUCCCAUUACCCAGACAGUCAUCCACACGGUGCAGAGUGCCUCUGGACAGAUGUUCUCUACUCCCGCCAUCCUACCUAUGAUGUACCCCCACCCUGCCUAUCCGAUGCCUUUCAUCACCACCAUUCCGGGAGGGCUGUACCCAUCCAAGUCCAUCAUCCUGUCAGGCACUGUCCUGCCCAGUGCUCAGAGGUUCCACAUCAACCUGUGCUCUGGGAGCCACAUCGCCUUCCACAUGAACCCCCGUUUUGAUGAGAAUGCUGUGGUCCGUAACACCCAGAUCAACAACUCUUGGGGGUCUGAGGAGCGAAGUCUGCCCCGAAAAAUGCCCUUCGUCCGAGGCCAGAGCUUCUCGGUGUGGAUCUUGUGUGAAGCUCACUGCCUCAAGGUGGCCGUGGAUGGUCAGCACGUGUUUGAAUACUACCAUCGCCUGAGGAACCUGCCCACCAUCAACAAACUGGAAGUGGGUGGCGACAUCCAGCUGACCCACGUGCAGACAUAGGCGGCUCCCUGGCCCUGGGGCCGGGGGCUGGGGUGUGGGGCAGUCUGGGUCCUCUCAUCAUCCCCACUUCCCAGGCCCAGCCUUUCCAACCGUGCCUGGGAUCUGGGCUUUAAUGCAGAGGCCAUGUCCUUUUCUGGUCCUGCUUCUGGCUACAGCCACCCUGGAAUCGAGAAGGCAGCUGACUGGGAUUGCCUUCCUCAGCCGCAGCAGCACCUGGGGCGCCAGCUGCUGGAAUCCUACAAUCCCAGAAGGCGGGCA
RNAcentral lists this small RNA (1839 nucleotides) under Pan troglodytes (chimpanzee). Its description in RNAcentral is "retained intron". The record is from RNAcentral. Lineage: Eukaryota; Metazoa; Chordata; Mammalia; Primates; Hominidae.